AGUAGAAGAAUUGGUAAGUAU
RNAcentral lists this non-coding RNA (21 nucleotides) under Caenorhabditis elegans. Lineage: Eukaryota; Metazoa; Nematoda; Chromadorea; Rhabditida; Rhabditidae. The record is from RNAcentral.